CUUUUCUGAGUUUGACCUCGAAUCAGGUAGGAUUACCCGCUGAACUUAAGCAUAUCAAUAAGCGGAGGAAAAGAAACCAACAGGGAUUGCCCUAGUAACGGCGAGUGAAGCGGCAACAGCUCAAAUUUGAAAUCUGGCCCUCGGGUCCGAGUUGUAAUUUGUAGAGGAUGUUUUUGGUGAGGUACCUUCCGAGUUCCCUGGAACGGGACGCCAUAGAGGGUGAGAGCCCCGUCUGGUUGGAUACCGAUCCUCUGUAAAACUCCUUCAACGAGUCGAGUAGUUUGGGAAUGCUGCUCUAAAUGGGAGGUAUAUGUCUUCUAAAGCUAAAUAUUGGCCAGAGACCGAUAGCGCACAAGUAGAGUGAUCGAAAGAUGAAAAGCACUUUGAAAAGAGAGUUAAAAAGUACGUGAAAUUGUUGAAAGGGAAGCGCUUAUGACCAGACUUGGACUUGGUUGAUCAUCCUGGGUUCUCCCUGGUGCACUCUUCCAGUUCAGGCCAGCAUCAGUUCGUCGCGGGGGAUAAAGGCUUCGGGAAUGUGGCUCCCUCGGGAGUGUUAUAGCCCGUUGUGUAAUACCCUGCUUUGGACUGAGGUUCGCGCAUCUGCAAGGAUGCUGGCGUAAUGGUCAUCAGCGACCCGUCUUGAAACACGGACCAAGGAGUCGUCUUCGUAUGCGAGUGUUCGGGUGUUAAACCCCUACGCGUAAUGAAAGUGAACGCAGGUGAGAGCUUCGGCGCAUCAUCGACCGAUCCUGAUGUUCUCGGAUGGAUUUGAGUAAGAGCAUACGGGGCCGGACCCGAAAGAAGGUGAACUAUGCUUGUAUAGGGUGAAGCCAGAGGAAACUCUGGUGGAGGCUCGCAGCGGUUCUGACGUGCAAAUCGAUCGUCAAAUAUGAGCAUGGGGGCCAAAGACUAAUCGAACCUUCUAGUAGCUGGUUUCCGCCGAAGUUCCCCCUCAGGAA
Molecule: ribosomal RNA, 959 nt
Filed under: Cylindrocladiella viticola
Lineage: Eukaryota; Fungi; Ascomycota; Sordariomycetes; Hypocreales; Nectriaceae
Description: eukaryotic LSU rRNA
Rfam family: Eukaryotic large subunit ribosomal RNA
Source: RNAcentral